Molecule: non-coding RNA, 120 nt
Filed under: Monodelphis domestica (gray short-tailed opossum)
Lineage: Eukaryota; Metazoa; Chordata; Mammalia; Didelphimorphia; Didelphidae
Source: RNAcentral
GUGUUGUAUGAAAGGAGAGAAAGUUAGUACUCCCCUUGAAAAGGAUGGAAGAGGUCCUGGUGGCCUUAACAACACAUUUGGUUAAGGCACCUAUUCUGUGGCAUCUAACCAUGCCACGAU